RNAcentral lists this ribosomal RNA (924 nucleotides) under Plectania sichuanensis. Its description in RNAcentral is "Plectania sp. MZ-2020a partial large subunit ribosomal RNA". It matches the Rfam family "Eukaryotic large subunit ribosomal RNA", at positions 33 to 971 of the family's 3401-position model. The record is from RNAcentral. Lineage: Eukaryota; Fungi; Ascomycota; Pezizomycetes; Pezizales; Sarcosomataceae.
GGUAACUAGCAUAUCAAUAAGCGGAGGAAAAGAAACCAACAGGGAUUGCCUCAGUAACUGCGAGUGAAGCGGCAAGAGCUCAAAUUUGAAAUCUGGUACCUUUGGGUGCCCGAGUUGUAAUUUGGAGAGGCAACUUCGAGGGAGGCGCUGGCCUAAGUUCCUUGGAACAGGACGUCACAGAGGGUGAGAAUCCCGUGCUUGGCUGGCUGUCCUCCUUCAUGUGAAGUGUCUUCGACGAGUCGAGUUGUUUGGGAAUGCAGCUCAAAAUGGGUGGUAAACUCCAUCUAAGGCUAAAUAUUGGCGAGAGACCGAUAGCGCACAAGUAGAGUGAUCGAAAGAUGAAAAGCACUUUGAAAAGAGAGUUAAAAAGUACGUGAAAUUGUUGAAAGGGAAACGCUUGAGACCAGACUCGGUGAUUGGUGAUCAGCGGUUGCUUUUGCUCCGUGCACUUGCCUUUCACUGGGCCAGCAUCAGUUGUGACGGUGGGAUAAAGACCUAGGGAAUGUGGCUCUCUUCGGGGAGUGUUAUAGCCUUAGGUGUAAUGCCGCCUGCCACGACUGAGGACCGCGCUUCGGCUAGGAUGCUGGCAUAAUGGUCUUCAGCGACCCGUCUUGAAACACGGACCAAGGAGUCUAACAUCUAUGCGAGUGUUCGGGUGUAAAACCCCUACGCGUAAUGAAAGUGAACGGAGGUGGGAACUCUUCGGAGUGCACCAUCGACCGAUCCUGAUGUCUUCGGAUGGAUUUGAGUAGGAGCAUAGCUGUUGGGACCCGAAAGAUGGUGAACUAUGCCUGAAUAGGGUGAAGCCAGAGGAAACUCUGGUGGAGGCUCGCAGCGGUUCUGACGUGCAAAUCGAUCGUCAAAUUUGGGUAUAGGGGCGAAAGACUAAUCGAACCAUCUAGUAGCUGGUUCCUGCGAGUUUUC